Molecule: ribosomal RNA, 550 nt
Filed under: uncultured bacterium
Lineage: Bacteria
Description: bacterial SSU rRNA
Rfam family: Bacterial small subunit ribosomal RNA
Source: RNAcentral
UGGGGAAUCUUCCGCAAUGGACGAAAGUCUGACGGAGCAACGCCGCGUGAGUGAUGACGGCCUUCGGGUUGUAAAGCUCUGUUAAUCGGGACGAAAGGCCUUCUUGCGAAUAGUUAGAAGGAUUGACGGUACCGGAAUAGAAAGCCACGGCUAACUACGUGCCAGCAGCCGCGGUAAUACGUAGGUGGCAAGCGUUGUCCGGAAUUAUUGGGCGUAAAGCGCGCGCAGGCGGAUUGGUCAGUCUGUCUUAAAAGUUCGGGGCUUAACCCCGUGAUGGGAUGGAAACUGCCAAUCUAGAGUAUCGGAGAGGAAAGUGGAAUUCCUAGUGUAGCGGUGAAAUGCGUAGAUAUUAGGAAGAACACCAGUGGCGAAGGCGACUUUCUGGACGAAAACUGACGCUGAGGCGCGAAAGCCAGGGGAGCGAACGGGAUUAGAUACCCCGGUAGUCCUGGCCGUAAACGAUGGGUACUAGGUGUAGGAGGUAUCGACCCCUUCUGUGCCGGAGUUAACGCAAUAAGUACCCCGCCUGGGGAGUACGACCGCAAGGUUG